AACCUAUACCUUCCCGAGAAUCUCACAAAUAAGACUAUGGAUGUGGUUAGCAGUAAAAGCAUGGACCUUAACUCCCUUGUGACUUAGUUGAAUUUAAGGUCUACACAAUAUUCCAUCUUGUAACUUCUUUCAUCAAUACCAAGGAAACAUGGAUUGCAAUUCCAAAUGCAAUGAUAAGAGCUGUGCAUUAUGAUUCUGGAAUAUUCAGACUCCUUGCUUCUGAUGUUGCUUUGGAGGAAUCUAGUCCUUCCAGUGACUCUCCUACUGCCUGCCACAUCUGAAAACUAAUCUCUCCGAAAAGGAAGGAUUGUAUCUACGUGGGCACCUCACACAGCAGCUUUUGCCCUUUGUGUCAAGAUGCUUCUCACAUGGUCACCAAGAGGGAGAAGUAUGUGCCAGGUCCUGGUGAAUCAGGGGCUUAUUUGCAUCUUGAUUUUUUUCCUGACUGCUGCCUGCUUUGAGAUGACUGGCAAUCUUAAGUGAUUUGCAUUUUUCUUAUAAACUUACUGUGCUACUACCCAUGUGACUGUCCGAUUCCUUGUUCAGGGACACAAAAAUCUGGAAAGGAUAUGGUUGUCCAAUGAGCCUCUGUAUAUGCUGGUAACAUUUUUUUAAAUUUUAAAUAGCAUCUGCACUCAUAAUUCCCUGAAAGUCUUUCACCAAAACAAACUGCUUUAUUCUCAGUGAUUCACAUUAGGAUCUUCAAAAUAGUUUACACAUGAAAUGGGUUCUUUCCCUCCAAGGAACUGGAUUGUGGCCUGGUGUCUGGGCCAGUCUGAGAGAAGCAAAAAGGCAUUUGAAACCCCCAGACCUCUGUUUUGUGCGAGCAGUGUAUAAGGAAAACACAAGAAACAAUAAAGAACUUCCUGAUGUUGACACAGAUCUCCCAGGAAAUAAAGUUGAAAAAAGGUUGGCUAAAACAACCUGCAAGAGAAAUCCCAAAAUACUAACUUCUGAAGAGCUGUGACCUUCAAAGAGAAGCUAAUCCUGUACUAAGGUAAACUGCAAUGGAGUGGAGAGAAGUUGGAAGAAAAAUAUGAUGGGGGAUGUCCUUCUAUAUGCUGUGAAUGUAUGUUUUUCUUAUUGGUUGAUAGAUAAAUGCUUAUUGACCAGUAUCCAGGCAGGAAGCAUAGGCAGGGCUACCAGACUAGGAGAAUUCUGGGAAGAGAAGCAGUCACCAGAGAGACACAUGUAAUCACUGGGAAAAUAGGAUGAUAGGAUAACUCUUGGGUAAGAUAGGGCCAUGUGGAUAUACAUAGAUUAAUAGUUAUGGGUUAAUACUUAAGAGUGAGCUAGUUAAUAAGAAGCCUGAGCCACUGGUCAAACAAUUGUAAUUGUGAUUAAUAUACAAUGUAAUUAAUAUAGUGGAAAGAGAACUCUGUCAUCAUAAAUACAGAGUGACUGAACAA
Mesocricetus auratus (golden hamster) is the source of this 1409-nucleotide long non-coding RNA. RefSeq lists it as uncharacterized. Lineage: Eukaryota; Metazoa; Chordata; Mammalia; Rodentia; Cricetidae. The record is from RefSeq and is a predicted model, not a curated record. The transcript has 4 exons.